Molecule: unclassified non-coding RNA, 396 nt
Filed under: Hevea brasiliensis (rubber tree)
Lineage: Eukaryota; Viridiplantae; Streptophyta; Magnoliopsida; Malpighiales; Euphorbiaceae
Source: RNAcentral
GAGGUUGAUGACUCUGGCUGGUGUAUAUGGAUUCUGGAAAUAUGUCUCCAAUCUCGAUAGGCGCGAGACCAAACGUUACCUCGAGAUGUUCUAUGCCCUCAAAUAUCGUAACUUGGCGCAAUCCGUACCCUUGGCUGUUGAUGGAGAGGUCAUUGCCAAUGGAACUAAAUAGUUUCCGCAGCGGAUGGAAGGUUGAGUUUAUGAUACAAAUAAGGAUCUCAGAUGGAAGUGCGUCUUCCUUCUUUUCUUGUUGGUCCAUUUGACGUUUGAGCCAACUUUGUAGCAAACAGAGUGAACUAGUUCAUGUCUUUCAAUGUAUUGGGAUGCAUAAGGCUUAAAUUUUGAGUAUUCCGCAAUAACAAUGCUGUAUUUUCUUUCUAAUAUCCGAAGCAUAUA